CAGCAGUCGCCACGGGAAUACGAAGGGGGCUAGCGUUGUUCGGAUUUACUGGGCGUAAAGCGCACGUAGGCGGACUUUUAAGUCAGGGGUGAAAUCCCGGGGCUCAACCCCGGAACUGCCUUUGAUACUGGAAGUCUUGAGUAUGGUAGAGGUGAGUGGAAUUCCGAGUGUAGAGGUGAAAUUCGUAGAUAUUCGGAGGAACACCAGUGGCGAAGGCGGCUCACUGGACCAUUACUGACGCUGAGGUGCGAAAGCGUGGGGAGCAAACAGGAUUAGAUACCCCUGUAGUCCCUGUCUCUUAUAC
This 304-nucleotide ribosomal RNA is filed under the name uncultured bacterium. RNAcentral's name for it is "partial 16S ribosomal RNA". It matches the Rfam family "Bacterial small subunit ribosomal RNA", at positions 506 to 807 of the family's 1533-position model. The record is from RNAcentral.